CUCCGGCAGCAGCACGCGGGAGGCGGGGCCGGAGGCUCCUCCGCCCCUCAGCCCGCCCACCCGCGGUCCCGCAGCGGCGCGCGGCUGACGCUCCCUCAGCGAUCCGGCCCUCCGCGGCUCCUGCGCGACCCCACGCAAAAGCGCCCCGUGCGAAGAGCGCGGCCAGCCAGUCCGCAAAGGGCCUCGGGCAGUGCGGGCAGCACGAACGGCGCGAUCGGGGAGCAGGCGCGGCUACGCUCCGCCUCAGUGAUGUCGCCGGGAGGAUCUCCGCGCGGCUACCUCCUCUUCCGCCGCCUUCCUCCCACGCCUUCACCUCCCUCCCCCGCCGCGCUCUGCGGCGAAAAGGAGCGGGCUCCCAGGCCACCUCCCCUCUCUCCACCCAGGGGCCGCGCGUCAGUGGACCUGCAGCCCAGGCAACGGGGCUGCGGACGGCGCGCGUGCCCUGCCUCGCCUCACGCCGGUAGCUGAUGCUCCCGCGGCAGCUGCCACCCCAGCGCCCCAGCCACGGCUUCAGAGGCUCUCGCACGCUGGCUUUUUUUUUUUCCCCCCGCUUUGGUGAACUCGCAGUACUUGGGCUGAGCCCGAAAUCUCGCGAGAUGCUGCAGGCGUCAGUGCGGCUUCCCACUAGGCGCGUGGUACCCGAGGCCGGGCCGGAGCCGCAGGCCAGCCGCGAUUCCUUCGGGCGAUGCUGGGGGCUUUCCGGUCGGGGCCGCAGCCGCUUCCGGAGCCGCGGGCGAGGUGCGUUCCCCAGCCUGGUUUGCUCUGGGCUCUGACCCGCCGCCGCGAAUCUCCGCUCGUAACUCCGGGCCUGAACCUGGAGGAGGGAGGAUUUCCUCUGUGCAGCUUUCGAGCGGUAGACUCACCCUGCCAGGCAGACCUAGAUUGGCAUAACCAGAGAUCAGUUCCAGUUGUGAUGCAGUGGGUGUCUACACACUUCUGAUGACACCUUUAUUUUAAAAGCUGAUGUUCCAAGGUGCAAGCGGUCUUCUCUGUCUUCUUUAUGGCCAGUAAAAUUCUCCAGAAGAGAUUUAUGGCAGCCUCACUCCCAGUAGUUUCUGCAUUUAGUGAGAUAAGGAAUGGAUUUUCUUCUGUGUAUUGCUGACACGAACAGGAGACGGAAAUACUGAGUAGAAGAGGGCGGUUCCCUGGCUAAGGCCCCACCCUCAAGCCUGGAUACCCGCGGCCCUAAAUGAGAAGAGGCGUUUCUGUUUGGGGCCCAAAAAGUUGCUUUUUGACCCACCACGCCCCCUAUCCUGCCCCCAUAUAAACCCCAAACCCCAACCUCCAGAGCAUACCAGCAGGUGAGGAGAUACGAGGCAAGCCGACUGACGGCAAAACGACGUAGCAGAGAAAGAGAGAAGAGGAGGGACGUCUGGACACCGAGAGAUGUUUGGCUCGGGGCAGUCAGAGCGGAGUCCAGCCCCUGGGCGGCCCAACUCCAGGGGAAGAUCACCUUCCCACUUCAUCCAUCCCCACCCUUCCAGCUCCCCAUCCAUCCUGCUGAAAGCCAUUUCCACCACUCAAUAAAACCUCGCAUUCAUCCUUCAAGUCCGUGUGUGACCCGAUUUUUCCUGGAUUCUGGAAAAGAGCUCGGAAUACAGAAAGCUGUCCCCUGGUCCUUUGCCCUUGUGAAAAAGCAGAAGGUCCAUUGAGCUGGUUAACACUCCAGCUGUCUGUGGUGGCCAAGCUGAAAGAGCUUUGUAACACUGGGGUUGCAGGCACCCACCUCUAGACGCUACCGCAGAGCCAGAGCCCAAAGCCCUCACCCCGGCCUCUGCACUUGCCCAUCUGCGUGCUCCCCCUCUCGCAAGGGGUUUCUGCAGAGGGGGCUACUGAACAGAUGGAAUCUUGCUCUCUUGCUCAGACUGGAGUGCAGUGGCAUGACCUUGGCUCACUGCAACCUCACCUCUCGGGUUCAAGCGAUUCUGCCUCAGCCUCUCGAGUAGCUGGGACUACAGGUGGGAGACCUCCACAGAACCCUUCCAGCAAGCUGUCUUCUAAAGCAAACAAGAAAAGGAAAGUCUGAGCAGUUUUGAUUAGAUUUCCCAGAAGUCAAAGCAAGGAAAAAUGAAAAAGCUUCAUUUCUCACGUUCUUAAAAGAGAGCACAGAUGUUGCAUCAUCUGGUUAGAUACCCUGAGAAUAAAAUCUGGAUCCAGUGAGAGGAAAGAUUCUGGGUGCUCAUGAAAAAAGAAACAAAACAAAACUUGGGAGCCUCUUGAGAGUGUACAGCAUCAGCCCUUGCCAACUCUUGUUUAUAUGCAUUUAACUUUCAGUUAACCAUGGGAAUAAUUCAUGAAAAUCCAAUCUACAAACAAAGGCCAUCCUAACGUUCAUGUUAUUCUUUUCCCUAAGAAUCUUUCACAAGAGCUAUAAUCAAGUAGAAUUAUGCUUUGAUUUGAAUUCUAAUUCAAUUGAAAAUAAAAAAUGAGGGCCGGACGCGGUGGCUCAUGCCUGUAAUCCCAGCGCUUUGGGAGGCUGAGGUGGACGGAUCACGAGGUCAGGAGAUCGAGACCAUCCUGGCUAACACGGUGAAACCCGAUCCCUACUAAAAAUACAAAAAAUUAGCCGGGCGUGGUGGCAGGCGCCUGUAGUCCCAGCUACUCGGGAGGCUGAGGCAGGAGAAUGGCGUGAACCCAGGAGGCAGAGGUUGCAGUGAGCCGAGAUCAUGCUACUGCACUCCAGCCUGGGCGACAGAGCGAGACUCUGUGUAUAAAUAAAUAAAUAAAUAAAUAAAUAACGAAAAGGUUGCCAUUGCCCUUUCUGGGGAAAGUGAUAAUGAGGAAAGACUAGUUUCUUAACCCAAGUCAGCUUUAGAGUCGGCAAGGAUGCAAUUUGAGGUGAUCCAGGAAAACUCUAUUAGCAUGGUAUAAGCCUGGUUUUGCAGUAUAUACAGCAAGCCAUAGGAAGUUUCAUUGGAAGCGUUGUGGAACUCAUUGAGAGUUGAAUGGAAGAAAGAACCUAUAGCAGAAAUUUCCAG
RNAcentral lists this long non-coding RNA (2978 nucleotides) under Homo sapiens (human). RNAcentral describes it as "HSALNT0094162". Lineage: Eukaryota; Metazoa; Chordata; Mammalia; Primates; Hominidae. The record is from RNAcentral.